AGUUAAUAAGUUUUUAAAAACAUAUAUUUUGAAAAUAUAAAAAAGAAGUUCAAACCUUCUAUUAACUU
RNAcentral lists this transfer RNA (68 nucleotides) under Lopaphus albopunctatus. RNAcentral describes it as "tRNA-Ser". It matches the Rfam family "tRNA". Rfam says of the family: Transfer RNA (tRNA) molecules are approximately 80 nucleotides in length. Their secondary structure includes four short double-helical elements and three loops (D, anti-codon, and T loops). Lineage: Eukaryota; Metazoa; Arthropoda; Insecta; Phasmatodea; Lonchodidae. The record is from RNAcentral.